Molecule: long non-coding RNA, 488 nt
Filed under: Castor canadensis (American beaver)
Lineage: Eukaryota; Metazoa; Chordata; Mammalia; Rodentia; Castoridae
Description: lncRNA (ENSCCNG00000014635.1)
Source: RNAcentral
UACCAAGAGGAGAAUAGGCUGAGACUUAAGGUUACACCAGCAAGAGUUCCCAGAUGGAAAGAAAGGACUGCCUUUUUCAAUGAGGCAGAGGAAAUUUAACUUCAUCUUUUGUUUUUCAUUGCAACCAAGAAAGAACAGAAGAUCAAAGGAAAUUAGUAAAGAUACUGUGACUAGGAGAACAGAGAAUGGGGCUCAAGGAUACCCACACUUGUUUUAUAACUUCUGGCUAUAAACCUGAGCACCGAUGCUUGACCUAUUGGUUAUGAGGCAGACAUGAAGAAGCUGGGAAGACGGUUUUGGUGAAUUCAGAGAUUUAAAUUUUGUCAAGACACAGUACUUCAUUGGAUAUGGGAUGGACAUCUUUGGAAAUGUGUCACAGGAAUAAGAUGUACCUGGCUUUAAUGCAAUAUUAAAAAAAAGCAGACAAAAUGAAACAAAGUUAAGGCAAAAAUAAUCCACAAUGAACAAAAAAAUUUGAGUAAAAUGGA